GUGAACGCUGGCGGUAGGCCUAACACAUGCAAGUCGAACGGCAGCACAGUAAGAGCUUGCUCUUACGGGUGGCGAGUGGCGGACGGGUGAGGAAUACAUCGGAAUCUACUUUUUCGUGGGGGAUAACGUAGGGAAACUUACGCUAAUACCGCAUACGACCUACGGGUGAAAGCAGGGGAUCUUCGGACCUUGCGCGAUUGAAUGAGCCGAUGUCGGAUUAGCUAGUUGGCGGGGUAAAGGCCCACCAAGGCGACGAUCCGUAGCUGGUCUGAGAGGAUGAUCAGCCACACUGGAACUGAGCCACCGUCCAGACUCCUACGGGAGGCAGCAGUGGGGAAUAUUGGACAAUGGGCGCAAGCCUGAUCCAGCCAUACCGCGUGGGUGAAGAAGGCCUUCGGGUUGUAAAGCCCUUUUGUUGGGAAAGAAAAGCAGCAGGUUAAUACCACGCUGUUCUGACGGUACCCAAAGAAUAAGCACCGGCUAACUUCGUG
This 491-nucleotide ribosomal RNA is filed under the name uncultured bacterium. RNAcentral's name for it is "partial 16S ribosomal RNA". It matches the Rfam family "Bacterial small subunit ribosomal RNA", at positions 29 to 507 of the family's 1533-position model. The record is from RNAcentral.